UAACCUGAAGCUAGUAUGCCUCUAACUGUUAAUUAGAAGACAGCCAAUUUUGGCCUGGUUAA
RNAcentral lists this transfer RNA (62 nucleotides) under Decemunciger sp. AB-2017. RNAcentral describes it as "tRNA-Asn". Lineage: Eukaryota; Metazoa; Annelida; Polychaeta; Terebellida; Ampharetidae. The record is from RNAcentral.